UGUUUUGGUAAUCUAAUGGAUAUCUUAGAUCUGUCGAAUAAGGAUGAUUUGGUGAUCUAAUGGAUAUCUGAGAUCUGUCGCAUAAGGAUGUUUUCGUGAUCUAACCUAAGGAUAGAUUGGCACAAUACAGUUAUUUUCACAUAUGUGCACAAUGGAUCCAAAGAUUAGUUUUAAUCUGCGCUAUAAAGGUGAAUCUUUCAACAAUCUCUCAGCUGGACAUCCCUCGUUCUAUAUAUCUCUGACUUCCAAGUUAAAAACU
RNAcentral lists this long non-coding RNA (259 nucleotides) under Mytilus galloprovincialis (Mediterranean mussel). The record is from RNAcentral. Lineage: Eukaryota; Metazoa; Mollusca; Bivalvia; Mytilida; Mytilidae.